Molecule: long non-coding RNA, 799 nt
Organism: Capsicum annuum
Lineage: Eukaryota; Viridiplantae; Streptophyta; Magnoliopsida; Solanales; Solanaceae
Exons: 2
Source: RefSeq, a predicted model, not a curated record
UGUUUGUCUCUUUUUCAUUGUGCAUAGUAUUCGCCUUGAUGUUCGCUAGUUUUUUUAAUCAAAAUUUUGGGUCAUCUGACCAUUUUAUUUAAUAAGUUGCCCAAUUGGCAAAAUCCAAACAAACAAAAAAAAAAAUGGAUCAGCCCAAAGUAGUGACCUAGUCCAAAAAAUAAUAAGAAGCUGAAAAAUUUCCUAUUUUUCUAUAAAUAUCUGAACAUAGUGUCCUAACCAAUCUUCCUCCAUACUCUUUGCCUCCUAGGAGCUGAACCAUGCUGCUAAGAGUAUUGCCGGAGGAAUCUAAAAUUGUACUUCCUUCUCCUUUGGAUAGUGUACCAGCUUGAGCCUCUCCAUUCGACGUCUGAGAUCUAUCUAUCUGCCUCACUGUUGCUUGGUAACAUCUUAAUCUUACUCACUCUUCUCUUCUUGUAUUUUAACUCUAACCCUGGCUUUGAUUGUAUAAAUGGUUGAGGUUUUACCUCCUAUGGACAGUAGGACACCAGUUCUACUAGAUUUGUAAAUCUUAACUCAGUUUAUCUGCCUCUACAGGUGGUGGUUCAAGAUAGUGCCAUCUCACAAACCCUCUAUUUUGGUGAAGGUUUAUGAUAUCUAGAGCAAUUAUUCUUAGCUUGUAGUUGCACAAUUAUAAUGUCUUCUUUCGGGCAUGCUCUUAAUCUCUCUUUACUGUAUUGAUGUUCCUUGGUGACUGUGGAUUUGUAAUUAUUUCUAUUUCCUCUUGCAUGUUGGAUUAUGAAUGUUUCUUCUGAUUUCAUAUGUUUCCAAGCCAUCUUUUUAUUGCUCA